GUACUGAAUCACCAAGGCCCUUUUUCUUGGCCUGUUAUGUGUGUGAUUAUAUUUAUCCCAGUUUCUGUGUAAUAGACAUGAAAGCCUCCCCUGCCACACCCCACCUCCAAUCUUCCUUUCCCUUCCACCAGGGAGUGUCCACUCCAUAUACCCUUACAUUUGGACAAUCAAGGUGCACAAUUGUAAGUGACCACAACCAUGCAUCUUGGAAAUUUAUGUGCAUAACUGCACAUGGCUUAUCCUAUUUGAAUAAAGUCCUACUCUCAGACCCCCUUUGCAGUAUAGCUGGGGUGCUGAUCACUGAGGCCUCUUUGCUUGGCUUGUCUAUAUUCUUGUGUACUAGAUAAGGGCACCUUCUCAUGGACUCCCUUUGCUUUUCAACAAGGAGUACCCACUACUUUUUAAGAUUCUUAUAUUUGUCCAAAGUACAUGGUUUUAAUUGACCACAACAAUGUCCCUUGGACAUUAAUGUAUGUAAUCACCACAUGGUUCAUCCUAAUUAAACAAAGUUCUACCUUCUCACCCUCCAUUUGCAGUAUACCAGGGUUGCUGACCCCCUAAGUCCCCUUUUCUUGGCUUGUUGACAUGCAUAAUUGCAUUUAUGUUGGUUCUUGUGCCCUAGACAAGGAUGCCCCACCUCUUUUCAAUAGUGGGUGCCCACUCCUUAUGAUCUUUACAUUUGAACAGUUAAUGUGAAUAAUUGCAGUUGUCCACAACCCUAUCACUUCUAGGACCAUUAUACCUCUUUUGCAUUACUGUGGGGUAUACUGUUUCCCUCCAAGGCCCCUUCUGGUGGACUAUCAACAUAUAAUUGAAAUUUUCUUUUGUCUUUGUCAGUAGAUUAAGGUCAUACCCCAUCACCUUUCCUUUGUAGUACAACAGGGUGUCCUGAUCAACCAAAGUCCUGUUGUUUUGGACUGUUAAUAUGUGCAAUUACAUUUGCUCCUGAUCUGUGCACUAGAUAAGGAUCCUACCUACUUUCUUAGUGUUUUUAGCAGGUAGUGCCCACUACUCAAGACUGUCACUUGGAAUGUUCAUGUGCACAAACUCAAUUCUCUAAGCAUGUUCCUGUACCACCUUUGCUUUAGAGCAGGGGGAUGAUAUUCACUAAGUGCCCCUUCUUUUGGACUUAAUAUGCAUUAAUGCAAUUGUCCACCUCUUCUUUUAGACUAAGAGUUGAUCUCCACAUAUUCCCCUUGCAUCAGGGGCAUGUUAAUUAUGAAUGAACCCUUUUCUUUUAAUAUUAAUGUCAUAAUUGUAUUUGUGGACCUGUGUAGGAGAAAAAGACCCUAUGUUCCUCCCAUUACCCUUUGGAUUGCUGCUGAGAAGUGUUAACUACUCAUAAUCUCAGCUCUUGGACAAUUAAUAGCAUUAAUAACAAUUAUCAAGGGCACUGAUCAUUAGAUAAGACUCCUGCUUCCUCGUUGCUUACAUCGGGGGUACUGACCCACUAAGGCCCCUUGUACUGUUAAUGUGAAUAUUUGCAAUUAUAUAUGUCUCCUUCUGGUAGAGUGGGAUAUUAUGCCCUAGUAUCCCCUUUGCAUUACUGCAGGGGCUGCUGACUACUCAAAACUUCUCCUGGGACUGUUAAUAGGCACAAUGGCAGUUAUCAAUGGUUUUCUCCCUCCCUGACCUUGUUAAGCAAGCGCCCCACCCCACCCUUAGUUUCCCAUGGCAUAAUAAAGUAUAAGCAUUGGAGUAUUCCAUGCACUUGUCUAUCAAACAGUGGUCCAUACUCCCAACCCUUUUGCAUUGCGCCAGUGUGUAAAAUCACAGGUAGCCAUGGUGUCAUGCUUUAUAUACGAAGUCUUCCCUCUCUCUGCCCCUUGUGUGCCCUUGGCCCCUUUUUACAGACUAUUGCUCACAAUCUCAGGUGUCCAUAUUUGCAGCUAUUAGGUAAGAUUGUGCUGUCUCCCUCUUCCCUUCCCUCUGCCCUGCCCCUUUUGCCUCUUUGCUGGGUAAUGUUGACCAGACAAGGCCCUUUCUCUUGGACUUAAACAAUUCUCAGUUGCACUUUCCUUGGUCCCACCCAUUAUACAUGAACCCCUCUACUUCCUUUCGCAUUGCUUCUGAGUAUGCUGACUACCCAAAGCCCCUUCUGUGUUAUUAAUAAACACAGUACUGAUUGUCCCAUUUUUCAGCCCAUCAGUCCAAGAUCUCCCUACCACUUUGGUGUGUUGGUGCAGUGUUGACUAUGAAAAGCAGGCCUGAACUAGGUGGAUAAGCCUUCACUCAUUUUCUUUCAUUUAUUAAUGAUCCUAGUUUCAAUUAUUGUCAGAUUCUGGGGACAAGAACCAUUCUUGCCCACCUGUGUUACUGCUUUACUGUGCAAAAUACUGAAGGCAAGUCAGACCCAGGGAGCUGGAUUGCCAUCCUUUAUUUUGUGUUUCCAGUGUACACUAUAAAAUUGUCUCCCCAGGAAGGAAGGUUGGCACUUUCUCUGCAUUCUUCUUUCCAGAGCAGAUUGCCUGGUUAAGAAUCUCUUGUUGUCCCCUUUGUAUAUUGUUAUUGUAAAGUGCCAAAUGCCAGGAUACAGCCAGAAAAAUUGCUUAUUAUUAUUAAAAAAAUUUUUUUAAGAAAGACAUCUGGAUUGUAGGGUGGACUCGAUAACCUGGUCAUUAUUUUUUUGAAGCCAAAAUAUCCAUUUAUACUAUGUACCUGGUGACCAGUGUCUCUCAUUUUAACUGAGGGUGGUGGGUCUGUGGAUAGAACACUGACUCUUGCUAUUUUAAUAUCAAAGAUAUUCUAGAGUGGAACUCUUAAGACCAGUAUCUUUGUGUGGGCUUUACCAGCAUUCACUUUUAGAAAAACUACCUAAAUUUUAUAAUCCUUUAAUUUCUUCAUCUGGAGCACCUGCCCCUACUUAUUUCAAGAAGAUUGCAGUAAAACGAUUAAAUGAGGGAACAUAUGCAGAGGUGCUUUUAAAAAGCAUAUGCCACCUUUUUUAUUAAUUAUUAUAUAAAAUGAAGCAUUUAAUUAUAGUAAUAAUUUGAAGUAGUUUGAAGUACCACACUGAGGUGAGGACUUAAAAAUGAUAAGACGAGUUCCCUAUUUUAUAAGAAAAAUAAGCCAAAAUUAAAUAUUCUUUUGGAUAUAAAUUUCAACAGUGAGAUAGCUGCCUAGUGGAAAUGAAUAAUAUCCCAGCCACUAGUGUACAGGGUGUUUUGUGGCACAGGAUUAUGUAAUAUGGAACUGCUCAAGCAAAUAACUAGUCAUCACAACAGCAGUUCUUUGUAAUAACUGAAAAAGAAUAUUGUUUCUCGGAGAAGGAUGUCAAAAGAUCGGCCCAGCUCAGGGAGCAGUUUGCCCUACUAGCUCCUCGGACAGCUGUAAAGAAGAGUCUCUGGCUCUUUAGAAUACUGAUCCCAUUGAAGAUACCACGCUGCAUGUGUCCUUAGUAGUCAUGUCUCCUUAGGCUCCUCUUGGACAUUCUGAGCAUGUGAGACCUGAGGACUGCAAACAGCUAUAAGAGGCUCCAAAUUAAUCAUAUCUUUCCCUUUGAGAAUCUGGCCAAGCUCCAGCUAAUCUACUUGGAUGGGUUGCCAGCUAUCUGGAGAAAAAGAUCUUCCUCAGAAGAAUAGGCUUGUUGUUUUACAGUGUUAGUGAUCCAUUCCCUUUGACGAUCCCUAGGUGGAGAUGGGGCAUGAGGAUCCUCCAGGGGAAAAGCUCACUACCACUGGGCAACAACCCUAGGUCAGGAGGUUCUGUCAAGAUACUUUCCUGGUCCCAGAUAGGAAGAUAAAGUCUCAAAAACAACCACCACACGUCAAGCUCUUCAUUGUUCCUAUCUGCCAAAUCAUUAUACUUCCUACAAGCAGUGCAGAGAGCUGAGUCUUCAGCAGGUCCAAGAAAUUUGAACACACUGAAGGAAGUCAGCCUUCCCACCUGAAGAUCAACAUGCCUGGCACUCUAGCACUUGAGGAUAGCUGAAUGAAUGUGUAUUUCUUUGUCUCUUUCUUUCUUGUCUUUGCUCUUUGUUCUCUAUCUAAAGUGUGUCUUACCCAUUUCCAUGUUUCUCUUGCUAAUUUCUUUCGUGUGUGCCUUUGCCUCAUUUUCUCUUUUUGUUCACAAGAGUGGUCUGUGUCUUGUCUUAGACAUAUCUCUCAUUUUUCAUUUUGUUGCUAUUUCUCUUUGCUCUCCUAGAUGUGGCUCUUCUUUCACGCUUUAUUUCAUGUCUCCUUUUUGGGUCACAUGCUGUGUGCUUUUUGUCCUUUUCUUGUUCUGUCUACCUCUCCUUUCUCUGCCUACCUCUCUUUUCUCUUUGUGAACUGUGAUUAUUUGUUACCCCUUCCCCUUCUCGUUCGUUUUAAAUUUCACCUUUUUUCUGAGUCUGGCCUCCUUUCUGCUGUUUCUACUUUUUAUCUCACAUUUCUCAUUUCUGCAUUUCCUUUCUGCCUCUCUUGGGCUAUUCUCUCUCUCCUCCCCUGCGUGCCUCAGCAUCUCUUGCUGUUUGUGAUUUUCUAUUUCAGUAUUAAUCUCUGUUGGCUUGUAUUUGUUCUCUGCUUCUUCCCUUUCUACUCACCUUUGAGUAUUUCAGCCUCUUCAUGAAUCUAUCUCCCUCUCUUUGAUUUCAUGUAAUCUCUCCUUAAAUAUUUCUUUGCAUAUGUGGGCAAGUGUACGUGUGUGUGUGUCAUGUGUGGCAGAGGGGCUUCCUAACCCCUGCCUGAUAGGUGCAGAACGUCGGCUAUCAGAGCAAGCAUUGUGGAGCGGUUCCUUAUGCCAGGCUGCCAUGUGAGAUGAUCCAAGACCAAAACAAGGCCCUAGACUGCAGUAAAACCCAGAACUCAAGUAGGGCAGAAGGUGGAAGGCUCAUAUGGAUAGAAGGCCCAAAGUAUAAGACAGAUGGUUUGAGACUUGAGACCCGAGGACUAAGAUGGAAAGCCCAUGUUCCAAGAUAGAUAGAAGCCUCAGGCCUGAAACCAACAAAAGCCUCAAGAGCCAAGAAAACAGAGGGUGGCCUGAAUUGGACCGAAGGCCUGAGUUGGAUGGAAGUCUCAAGGCUUGAGUUAGAAGUCUUAAGACCUGGGACAGGACACAUGGAAGGCCUAAGAACUGAGACUUGUGACACAAGGCCAACGACCUAAGAUUAGCCCAGGGUUGUAGCUGGAAGACCUACAACCCAAGGAUGGAAGGCCCCUGUCACAAAGCCUACCUAGAUGGAUAGAGGACCCAAGCGAAAAAGGUAUCUCAAGACUAACGGCCGGAAUCUGGAGGCCCAUGACCCAGAACCCAGGAAGGAUAGAAGCUUGAAGACCUGGGGAAAUCCCAAGAUGAGAACCCUAAACCCUACCUCUUUUCUAUUGUUUACACUUCUUACUCUUAGAUAUUUCCAGUUCUCCUGUUUAUCUUUAAGCCUGAUUCUUUUGAGAUGUACUUUUUGAUGUUGCCGGUUACCUUUAGAUUGACAGUAUUAUGCCUGGGCCAGUCUUGAGCCAGCUUUAAAUCACAGCUUUUACCUAUUUGUUAGGCUAUAGUGUUUUGUAAACUUCUGUUUCUAUUCACAUCUUCUCCACUUGAGAGAGACACCAAAAUCCAGUCAGUAUCUAAUCUGGCUUUUGUUAACUUCCCUCAGGAGCAGACAUUCAUAUAGGUGAUACUGUAUUUCAGUCCUUUCUUUUGACCCCAGAAGCCCUAGACUGAGAAGAUAAAAUGGUCAGGUUGUUGGGGAAAAAAAAGUGCCAGGCUCUCUAGAGAAAAAUGUGAAGAGAUGCUCCAGGCCAAUGAGAAGAAUUAGACAAGAAAUACACAGAUGUGCCAGACUUCUGAGAAGCACCUGCCAGCAACAGCUUCCUUCUUUGAGCUUAGGUGAGCAGGAUUCUGGGGUUUGGGAUUUCUAGUGAUGGUUAUGGAAAGGGUGACUGUGCCUGGGACAAAGCGAGGUCCCAAGGGGACAGCCUGAACUCCCUGCUCAUAGUAGUGGCCAAAUAAUUUGGUGGACUGUGCCAACGCUACUCCUGGGUUUAAUACCCAUCUCUAGGCUUAAAGAUGAGAGAACCUGGGACUGUUGAGCAUGUUUAAUACUUUCCUUGAUUUUUUUCUUCCUGUUUAUGUGGGAAGUUGAUUUAAAUGACUGAUAAUGUGUAUGAAAGCACUGUAAAACAUAAGAGAAAAACCAAUUAGUGUAUUGGCAAUCAUGCAGUUAACAUUUGAAAGUGCAGUGUAAAUUGUGAAGCAUUAUGUAAAUCAGGGGUCCACAGUUUUUCUGUAAGGGGUCAAAUCAUAAAUACUUUAGACUGUGGGCCAUAUGGUUUCUGUUACAUAUUUGUUUUUUAAACAACGUUUUUAUAAGGUCAAAAUCAUUCUUAGUUUUUGAGCCAAUUGGAUUUGGCCUGCUGUUCAUAGCUUACCACCCCCUGAUGUAUUAUUUGUUAUUCAGAGAAAAUUUCUGAAUACUACUAGUUUCCUUUUCUGUGCCUGUCCCUGUGCUAGGCACUAAAAAUGCAAUGAUUAUUGAUAUCUAGGUGACCUGAAAAAAAAUAGUGAAUGUGCUUUGUAAACUGUAAAGCACUUGUAUUCUACUGUGAUAAGCGUUGUGGAUACAAAGAAAGGAGCAAGCAUAAAAAAGUGCUCUUUCAAAAGGAUAUAGUACUAUGCAGACACAAGGAAUUGUUUGAUAAAUGAAUAAAUUAUAUGUAUAUUUGAGGCCAAUUUGUGUUUGCUGCUCUGGUAAUUUUGAGUAAAAAUGCAGUAUUCCAGGUAUCAGAAACGAAAACACAUGGAAACUGCUUUUAAACUUUAAAAUAUACUGAAAACAUAAGGGACUAAGCUUGUUGUGGUCACCUAUAAUGUGCCAGAUACCAUGCUGGGUGCUAGAGCUACCAAAGGGGGAAAAGUAUUCUCAUAGAACAAAAAAUUUCAGAAAGGUGCAUAUUAAAGUGCUUUGUAAACUAAAGCAUGAUACAAAUGUCAAUGGGCUACAUAUUUAUGAAUGAAUGAAUGGAUGAAUGAAUAUUAAGUGCCUCUUACAUACCAGCUAUUUUGGGUACUGUAAAAUACAAGAUUAAUUCUCCUAUGUAAUAAGAGGAAAGUUUAUCCUCUAUACUAUUCAGAUGUAAGGAAUGAUAUAUUGCUUAAUUUUAAACAAUCAAGACUUUACUGGUGAGGUUAAGUUAAAUUAUUACUGAUACAUUUUUCCAGGUAACCAGGAAAGAGCUAGUAUGAGGAAAUGAAGUAAUAGAUGUGAGAUCCAGACCGAAAGUCACUUAAUUCAGCUUGCGAAUGUGCUUUCUAAAUUAUAAAGCACUUGUAAAUGAAAAAUUUGAUGCUUUCUGUAUGAAUAAAACUUUCUGUAAGCUAGGUAUUGUCUCUACAAAAUUCUCAUUGUAUAGUUAAACCACAGUGAGAAGGGUUCUAUAAGUAGUUAUACAAACCAAGGGUUUAAAUACCUGUUAAAUAGAUCAAUUUUGAUUGCCUACUAUGUGAACUCACUGUUAAAGGCACUGAAAAUUUAUCAUAUUUCAUUUAGCCACAGCCAAAAAUAAGGCAAUACCUAUGUUAGCAUUUUGUGAACUCUAAGGCACCAUAUAAAUGUAACUGUUGAUUUUCUCACUUGGUGCUGGGUACUAGGUUUAUAAAAUUGUAUGAUAGUUAUUAUAUUGUGCAAAUAAAGUAGGAAAAUUUGAAUAACAAUGAUUAUCUUUUGAAUACGCAUACGCAAGGGAUUGGUUGUCUGAAGAAUGCCACUAUAGUAGUUAUCUAUUGUGUGCCAAUCUCAUUGCUAGGCAUUGGGGAUGCAAAGAUAAACCAUCUUUAUUGUGUCUUGGGUAGCAGAAGAAAAUAUGUGUAAAAUCAAUUUAUAAUUUGUAAACUGCCACCCAUAUAUAAGCUAUAUCUGCUGAAUGAUCAUUGAUUACUCUUAUCCUUAGAGAUAACAACUGGGGGCACAAACAUUUAUUAUCAUUAUUGAACCUACAACAGAGAUCUAUGUGUAGAUUUACAAAGCCUACAGUUCUAUACAGAUAGGAAUGAACUAUUGGCUUACUGAAUGGUGAUUACUUUCUGUGGGGCUCGGAACUACAUGCCCUAGGAUAUAAAAAUGAUGUUAUCAUUAUAGAGUGCUCACAGAAGGAAAUGAAGUAAUAUAGGUGUGAGAUCCAGACCAAAAGUCAUUUAACAAGUUUAUUCAGUGAUGAAAACAUGGGACAAAUGGACUAAUAUAAGGCAGUGUACUAAGCUGAGUAGAGAGAUAAAGUCCUGUCCAGAAGAUACAUGCUUCCUGGCCUGAUUGAGGAGAUGGAAAAUUUUUGCAAAAAACAAGGUGUUGUGGUCUUCCAUCCAGUUUCUUAAGUGCUGAUGAUAAAAGUGAAUUAGACCCACCUUGACCUGGCCUACAGAAGUAAAGGAGUAAAAAUAAAUGCCUCAGGCGUGCUUUUUGAUUCAUUUGAUAAACAAAGCAUCUUUUAUGUGGAAUAUACCAUUCUGGGUCCUGAGGAUAAGAGAGAUGAGGGCAUUAGAUCACUGACAGCUGAAGAUAGAAGAACAUCUUUGGUUUGAUUGUUUAAAUAAUAUUUCAAUGCCUAUUCUCUGCAAGGUACUAUGUUUCGUAAAUUAAAUAGGUCUGGCCCAGAAGACCCACUCAAUUGCCUUUGAGAUUAAAAAAAAAAAAAAAAAGAAAGAAAAAUGCAAGUUUCUUUCAAAAUAAAGAGACAUUUUUCCUAGUUUCAGGAAUCCCCCAAAUCACUUCCUCAUUGGCUUAGUUUAAAGCCAGGAGACUGAUAAAAGGGCUCAGGGUUUGUUCUUUAAUUCAUUAACUAAACAUUCUGCUUUUAUUACAGUUAAAUGGUUCAAGAUGUAACAACUAGUUUUAAAGGUAUUUGCUCAUUGGUCUGGCUUAGAGACAGGAAGACAUAUGAGCAAUAAAAAAAAGAUUCUUUUGCAUUUACCAAUUUAGUAAAAAUUUAUUAAAACUGAAUAAAGUGCUGUUCUUAAGUGCUUGAAAGACGUAAACCAAAGUGCACUUUAUCUCAUUUAUCUUAUGGUGGAAACACAGGAACAAAUUCUCUAAGAGACUGUGUUUCUUUAGUUGAGAAGAAACUUCAUUGAGUAGCUGUGAUAUGUUCGAUACUAAGGAAAAACUAAACAGAUCACCUUUGACAUGCGUUGUAGAGUGGGAAUAAGAGAGGGCUUUUUAUUUUUUCGUUCAUACGAGUAUUGAUGAAGAUGAUACUAAAUGCUAAAUGAAAUAUAUCUGCUCCAAAAGGCAUUUAUUCUGACUUGGAGAUGCAACAAAAACACAAAAAUGGAAUGAAGUGAUACUCUUCAUCAAACAGAAGUGACUGUUAUCUCAACCAUUUUGUUAAAUCCUAAACAGAAAACAAAAAAAAUCAUGACGAAAAGACACUUGCUUAUUAAUUGGCUUGGAAAGUAGAAUAUAGGAGAAAGGUUACUGUUUAUUUUUUUUCAUGUAUUCAUUCAUUCUACAAAUAUAUUCGGGUGCCAAUAGGUACUUGGUAUAAGGUUUUUGGCCCCAGAGACAUGGGAAAAAAAUGCAUGCCUUCCCAGAGAAUGCCUAAUACUUUCCUUUUGGCUUGUUUUCUUGUUAGGGGCAUGGCUUAGUCCCUAAAUAACAUUGUGUGGUUUAAUUCCUACUCCGUAUCUCUUCUACCACUCUGGCCACUACGAUAAGCAGGUAGCUGGGUUUUGUAGUGAGCUUGCUCCUUAAGUUACAGGAACUCUCCUUAUAAUAGACACUUCAUUUUCCUAGUCCAUCCCUCAUGAAAAAUGACUGACCACUGCUGGGCAGCAGGAGGGAUGAUGACCAACUAAUUCCCAAACCCCAGUCUCAUUGGUACCAGCCUUGGGGAACCACCUACACUUGAGCCACAAUUGGUUUUGAAGUGCAUUUACAAGGUUUGUCUAUUUUCAGUUCUUUACUUUUUACAUGCUGACACAUACAUACACUGCCUAAAUAGAUCUCUUUCAGAAACAAUCCUCAGAUAACGCAUAGCAAAAUGGAGAUGGAGACAUGAUUUCUCAUGCAACAGCUUCUCUAAUUAUACCUUAGAAAUGUUCUCCUUUUUAUCAUCAAAUCUGCUCAAGAAGGGCUUUUUAUAGUAGAAUAAUAUCAGUGGAUGAAAACAGCUUAACAUUUUACCAUGCUUAAGUUUUAAGAAUAAAAUAAAAAUUGGAAAUAAUUGGCCAAAAUUGAAAGGAAAAAUUUUUUUAAAAUUUCUCUAAAUGUAGGCCUGGCUGGGCUUUGACCUUUUCCGUUUUUAAAUCACUCACAGAGGGUGGGACAGGAGGAAGAGUGAAGGAAAAGGUCAAACCUGUUUUAAGGGCAACCUGCCUUUGUUCUGAAUUGGUCUUAAGAACAUUACCAGCUCCAGGUUUAAAUUGUUCAGUUUCAUGCAGUUCCAAUAGCUGAUCAUUGUUGAGAUGAGGACAAAAUCCUUUGUCCUCACUAGUUUGCUUUACAUUUUUGAAAAGUAUUAUUUUUGUCCAAGUGCUUAUCAACUAAACCUUGUGUUAGGUAAGAAUGGAAUUUAUUAAGUGAAUCAGUGUGACCCUUCUUGUCAUAAGAUUAUCUUAAAGCUGAAGCCAAAAUAUGCUUCAAAAGAAGAGGACUUUAUUGUUCAUUGUAGUUCAUACAUUCAAAGCAUCUGAACUGUAGUUUCUAUAGCAAGCCAAUUACAUCCAUAAGUGGAGAAGGAAAUAGAUAAAUGUCAAAGUAUGAUUGGUGGAGGGAGCAAGGUUGAAGAUAAUCUGGGGUUGAAAUUUUCUAGUUUUCAUUCUGUACAUUUUUAGUUAGACAUCAGAUUUGAAAUAUUAAUGUUUACCUUUCAAUGUGUGGUAUCAGCUGGACUCAGUAACACCCCUUUCUUCAGCUGGGGAUGGGGAAUGGAUUAUUGGAAAAUGGAAAGAAGAAAGUAACUAAAAGCCUUCCUUUCACAGUUUCUGGCAUCACUACCACUACUGAUUAAACAAGAAUAAGAGAACAUUUUAUCAUCAUCUGCUUUAUUCACAUAAAUGAAGUUGUGAUGAAUAAAUCUGCUUUUAUGCAGACACAAGGAAUUAAGUGGCUUCGUCAUUGUCCUUCUACCUCAAAGAUAAUUUAUUCCAAAAGCUAAGAUAAAUGGAAGACUCUUGAACUUGUGAACUGAUGUGAAAUGCAGAAUCUCUUUUGAGUCUUUGCUGUUUGGAAGAUUGAAAAAUAUUGUUCAGCAUGGGUGACCACCAGAAAGUAAUCUUAAGCCAUCUAGAUGUCACAAUUGAAACAAACUGGGGAGUUGGUUGCUAUUGUAAAAUAAAAUAUACUGUUUUGAAAACUUUGU
RNAcentral lists this long non-coding RNA (11270 nucleotides) under Homo sapiens (human). Its description in RNAcentral is "non-protein coding XIST:53". The stretch from base 3567 to 3692 matches the Rfam family "X-chromosome inactivation gene exon 4". The record is from RNAcentral. Lineage: Eukaryota; Metazoa; Chordata; Mammalia; Primates; Hominidae.